RNAcentral lists this long non-coding RNA (7213 nucleotides) under Salmo salar (Atlantic salmon). RNAcentral's name for it is "lncRNA (ENSSSAG00000115196.1)". Lineage: Eukaryota; Metazoa; Chordata; Actinopteri; Salmoniformes; Salmonidae. The record is from RNAcentral.
GAUAAGGCGCCUGGCUCCUGCAUAAUCUGGGCCGCUGCUCGCUCGCAUGCUCAGCUCAGUCAUUUGCUCUCUCCACGUCAUGUCUCGCUCAGCUCAGUCAGUUGUUCUCUCUAAAUAAUGUCUCGCUCAGCUCAGUCAGUUGCUCUCUCCAGGUAAUGUCUCGCUCAGCUCAGUCAGUUGCUCCCUCCACGUCAUGUCUCGCUCAGCUCAGUCAGUUGCUCCUUCAGCGUCUCGCUCAGCUCGGUCAGUUGCUCCCUCCACGUCUCGCUCAGCUCAGUCAGUUGCUCCUUCAGUGUCUCGCUCAGCUCAGUCAGUUGCUCCUUCAGCGUCUCGCUCAGCUCGGUCAGUUGCUCCCUCCACGUCUCGCUCAGCUUGGCUUAGGCUAUACAGGCCCUGUGCUGUAUCUGGAGGUGGUAAUGCUGUCCACUAAUGGUGACCAACCCUGGCCCUGGAGAGCUACUGUAGUGGGUUAUGGAUGGUUUUUUCCCGUAUUUUCUUCAGCCCAGCGCUAACACACCGGAUUCAACUCCUCAAGACCCUCUCCACCAUGAGAUAAUUAGCUAACUUGUUUGUUAGUGCUGGGCUGGAACAAAAAGGCUGCACAACCUGUUGCUCUCCAGGACAACAAUAUCGGUGACCACUGGCAUAGGCCUUGAAUCUGUCUGUCCAGCUCUGAUAGGACAGUAGGUCAUCUUUAGAGUCACCAGGCUUCCACUCGGCACUCUGUGGGGCUUGCCCAUUAUUUCUUCCCCCUAAUCCUAGAGAAGAAGUAAAUUACCUCAUUUGAUGAGUUAUGAUGAGGCCUCCUCAUUCAUUCAAAUCUCAAUGAGAUUAGCACACUCUGUAAUUGAUGAAUUUGAGGGAAUUUUCAAAGGAUUCGCGAGGAUUGCAACGGCUCCGGGGUUCUUUGUGUUUAACACAUUUAUUGAGUUCUAGAAAUUAGACAAUCCCGGGGAGAGCAAUGAAUAAUGUACGCUGGCAACAUUUUUUACUGAAGAGAAGUGACUUAUCGUGAUCAUUUCUGUUUCUUUAUAAUGGAAUUGAGAGGAACCAUGACUAUGCUGUGUCACCACUCAGGGAAGACACACUAGCCCUGGCAGAGUGUGUGUGUGUGUGUGUGUGUGUGUGUGUGUGUGUGUGUGUGUGUGUGUGUGUGUGUGUGUGUGUGUGUGUGUGUGUGUGUGUGUGUGUGUGUGUGUGUGUGCCCGCUUAGCCUAUGUGUUCUCUUAGCCUAUGUGUUCUGUUAGGCUAUGUGUUCUGUUAGCCUAUGUGUUCUGUUAGCCUAUGUGUUCUCUUAGCCUAUGUGUUCUCUUAGCCUAUGUGUUCUCUUAGCCUAUGUGUUUUGUUAGGCUAUGUGUUCUGUUAGCCUAUGUGUUCUGUUAGCCUAUGUGUUCUCUUAGCCUAUGUGUUCUCUUAGCCUAUGUGUUCUGUUAGCCUAUGUGUUCUCUUAGCCUAUGUGUUCUUUUAGCCUAUGUGUUCUCUUAGCCUAUGUGUUCUUUUAGCCUAUGUGUUCUCUUAGCCUAUGUGUUCUUUUAGCCUAUGUGUUCUCUUAGCCUAUGUGUUCUUUUAGCCUAUGUGUUCUCUUAGCCUAUGUGUUCUGUUAGCCUAUGUCUUCUCUUAGCCUAUGUGUUCUGUUACCCUAUGUGUUCUGUUAGCCUAUGUGUUCUCUUAGCCUAUGUGUUCUCUUAGCCUAUGUGUUCUGUUACCCUAUGUGUUCUCUUAGCCUAUGUGUUCUCUUAGCCUAUGUGUUCUGUUAGCCUAUGUGUUCUAUUAGCCUAUGUGUUCUGUUACCCUAUGUGUUCUCUUAGCCUAUGUGUUCUCUUAGCCUAUGUGUUCUGUUAGCCUAUGUGUUCUAUUAGCCUAUGUGUUCUGUUAGCCUAUGUGUUCUGUUAGCCUAUGUGUUCUGUUAGCCUAUGUGUUCUGUUAGGCUAUGUGUUCUCUUAGCCUAUGUGUUCUGUUAGCCUAUGUGUUCUGUUAGGCUAUGUGUUCUGUUAGGCUAUGUGUUCUGUUAGGCUGUGUUCUGUUAGCCUAUGUGUUCUGUUAGCCUAUGUGUUCUGUUAGCCUAUGUGUUCUCUUAGCCUAUGUGUUCUGUUAGCCUAUGUGUGUGCGCUACCCUGUGAGUGUUUACAGGGCCCUAUACGUACAGUACCCGUCAAAAGUUUGGACACACCUACUCAUUCCAGGGUUUUCUUUAUUUUUACAGUAGAAUAAUAGUGAACACAUCAAAACUAUAAAAUAACACAUAUGGAAUCAUGUAGUAACAAAAAAGUGUUAAACAAAUCAAAAUAUAUUUUCUAUUUUCGAAACUUCAAAGUAGCCACCCUUUGCUUGAUGACAGCUUUAGACAUUCUUUCAACCAGCUUCAUGAGAUAGUCACCUGGCAUGCAUUUCAAUUAACAGGUGUGCCUUUUUAAAAGUGUGUGCCUUUUAAAACAUUUGUGGCAUUUAUUUCCUUAAUGCGUUUGAGCCAAUCAGUUGUGUUGUGACAAGGUGUUCUUAGUGUGGUGCCAGGAAAAUAACCUCUCACUCAACGUCAACAAAACAAAGGAGAUGAUCGUGGACUUCAGGAGGGAGCACCCCCCUAUCCACAUCGACGGGACCGCAGUGGAGAAGGUGAAAGAUUCAAUUUCCUCGUCAUACACAUCACUGACAAUCUGAAAUGGUCCACUCACACAGACAGUGUGUUGGAGAAGGCGCAACAGAGCCUCUUCAACCUCAGGAAGCUGAAGAAAUUUGGCUUGUCACCUUAAACCUUCACAAACUUUUACAGGUGCACAACUGAGAGCAUCCUGUCAGGUUGUAUAACCGCUUGGUACGGCAACUGCACCGCCUGCAACUGCAGGGCUUUCCAGAGGGUGGUGAGGUCUGCCCAACACAUCACCGGGGGCCUCCAGGACACCUAUGUCACAGCACCCGAUGUCACAGUGUUACGGAUACAGGUAUCCUGUGUGAGUAUCCUGUGUGUGUGUUUCUUUUCUCUCCUUCUCCCCUCACAGGUGACAAUCAUCAUUCCCCAAUCAGUCACCAACCAAGACACCUGCUCCUUUUCCCUCAACCAAUCACAUCCCCUUGGUUUAAAACCCAGUCAGUAGUUUUCUCAACAGUUCAAUCUCUCUCUCUGUAGCUUGAUCUCUCUGUGUCAUUCAAACUCUCGCUCUCUCUCUAUGGAUUGAUCUCCCUUUUGUUUUUGCAACUACAUGUCACUUUGUCCAUCAGCCUGUGAGUAUUGUUUUUGUUAAAGUGUUGACUGUUUGUUUGAUGGUGGGAAAAAGGGGUACCAAGACAAGUCACCCAUGGGCAUACAAUACCCGUAGGAAUACUUUAUCUAAGUACACUAGUUAGAACUGGGCGGACCACCAACUGUAUUUUAUUGGUUAGUUAGCUAGCUGUGCUUGAAGCAGGUAGUCUAGCUUAGGGGUGUUUUUGAAUACUUAUUAUUUCUUUCCUUGGGUCUAGCUCAGCCCCUUUUCCCUCCCCCCUUUACCAUGUGUUUAAGCAAUAAACCAAUAGAGUUUGACCGUAAAUUUAAGUGGUAUGCGUUUAUUAGUUCUCACUGUUUCUUUUCACUAUUAUGAUUUGCAUGAGUUAUGUUACGGGUCUCGUUUCCACCUCCCCUAGACUGCAGGACCAAAGGGAUUCGUAACACACAGGAAGGCAAAAAAGAUAAUCAAGGACAACAACCACCCAAGCCACUGCCUGUUCACCCUGCUAUCAUCCAGAAGGUGAGGUCAUCAAAGCUGGGACCGAGAGACUUAAAAAAAACGCUUCUAUCUUAAAUAGCCAUCACCAGCACAUAGAGGCUGCUGCCUAUAUACAUAGACUUGAAAUCAUUGGCCACUUUAAUAAAUGGAACACUAGUCACUUUAAUAAUGUCCACAUAUCUUGCACACACAUUAACAAUCUCAUAUGUAUAUACUCGAUUCUAUACUAUUCUACUAUAUCUUAUUCUAUGCCGCUCUGACAUUGCUCAUCCAUAUACUUUUAUAUUCUUAAUUCCAUUCCUUUACUAGAUGUGUGUUUUAGGUAUACAGUGGCUUGCAAAAGUAUUCACCCCCUUGGCAUUUUUCCUGUUUUGUUGCCUUACAACCUGGAGUUAAAAUAGAUUUUUGGGGGGGUUGUAUCAUUUGAUUUACACAACAUGCCUACCACUUUAAAAAUAUGCAAAAUAUUUGUUAUUGUGAAAUAAACAAGAAAUAAGACAAAAAAAUGGAAAACUUGAGCGUGCAUAACUAUUCACCGCCCCAAAGUCAAUACUUUGUAGAGCUACCUUUUGCAGCAAUUACAGCUGCAAGUCUCUUGGGGUAUGUCUCUAUAAGCUUGGCACAUCUAGCCACUGGGAUUGUUGCCCAUUCUUCAAGGCAAAACUGCUCCAGCUCCUUCAAGUUGGAUGGAUUCCGCUUGGUUCCGCUGGUGUACAGCAAUCUUUAAGUCAUACCAUAGAUUCUCAAUUGGAUUGAGGUCUGGGCUUUGACUAGGCCAUUCCAAGACAUUUAAAUGUUUCCCCUUAAACCACUUGAGUGUUGCUUACACAGUAUGCUUAGGGUCAUUGUCCUGCUGGAAGAUGUACCUCCGUCCCAGUCUCAAAUCUCUGGAAGACUGAAACAGGUUUCCCCCAAGAAUUUCCCUUGAUUUGGCGCCAUCCAUCGUUCCUUCAAUUCUGACCAGUUUCCCAGUCCCUGCCGAUGGGAAAAACAUCCCCACAGCAUGAUGCUGCCACCACCAUGCUUCACUGUGGGGAUGGUGUUCUCGGGGUGAUGAGAGGUGUUGGGUUUGUGCCAGACAUACCGUUUUCCUUUUACCAAAAAGCUCAAUUUCUGUGUCAUCUGACCAGAGUACCUUCUUCCAUAUGUUUGGGGAGUCUCCCACGUGCCUUUUGGCGAACACCAAACAUGUUUGGUUAUUUUUUUCUUUAAGCAAUGGCUUUUUUUCUGGCCACUCUUCCGUAAAGCCCAGCUCUGUGGAGUGUACAGCUUAAAGUGGUCCUAUCGACACAUACUCCAAUCUCUGCUGUGGAGCAUUGCAGCUCCUGCAGGGUUAUCUUUGGUCUCUUUGUUGCCUCUCUGAUUAAUGCCCUCCUUGCCUGGUCCGUGAGUUUUGAUGGGCGGCCCUCUCUUGGCAGGUUUGUUGUGGUGCCAUAUUCUUUCCAUUUUUUUAAUAAUGGAUUUUAUGGUGCUCCAUGGGAUGUUUUUUUUAUUUCCCAACCCUGAUCUGUACUUCUCCACAACUUUGUCCCUGACCUGUUUGGAGAGCUCCUUGUUUUUCAUGGUGCCACUUGCUUGGUGGUGUAACGGCCGUCUGAAAGAGUAGGCCAAGGCGCAGCGUGGUUCGUGCUCAUCAUGACAUUUAUUUAAAUGAACACUGAAUCAAAAAACCAAAGUGCAACAGCUAAACAGUUCUGUCAGGUAACAAAUGACUAAACAGAAAAUAACCACCCACAAAACCCAAAGGAAAACAGGCUGCCUAAGUAUGGCUCCCAAUCAGCAACAACGAUAUACAGCUGUCCCUGAUUGAGAGCCAUACCCGGCCGAAACAAAGAAAUACCAAACAAAGAAAAAGGACAUAGAAUGCCCACCCCAACUCAGGCCCUGACCAACCAAAAUAGAGACAUAAAAUUAUGUGACUUCUGAAGGUAAUUGGUUGCACCAGAUCUUAUUUAGGGGCUUCAUAGCAAAUGGGGUGAAUACCUAUGCACGCACCACUUUUCCGUUUUUUAGUAUUUUUUAAAACAUGUUAUUUUUUUUAAUUUCACUUGACCAAUUUGGACAAUUUUAUGUCCAUUACAUGAAAUCCAAAUAAAAAUCUAUUUAAAUUACAGGUUGUAAUGCAACAAAAUAAGAAAAACACCAAGGAGAUGAAUACUUUUGUAUGUUGUGUAAUUGUUAGAUAUUACUUGUUAUAUAUUACUGCACUGUCAGAGCUAGAAGCACAAGCAUUUCGCUACACCCGCAAUAACAUCUGCUAAACACGUGUGUCUAAUAAAAUUUGAUGUAUUUUUAUUUGAUUUAGCUUUGUCUUUUUAAAAUAGACACAUAAAAAGAUUCUGGGGAUGAGCAUGCCCAUCUUCAAUAUGUACCUAUUGUUCCUCUUUUUAGUGUGAUUAACUAUUUGCCGCAAGUAAAAGCCCUGGGUGGUGAGUUGAUACAACUCCAAGUCUGGAAGGUUAAAACCACCCUCAGACUUUGGAAGAUGUAAAACUUUCCUUUUUAUUCUAUGAAUUUUAUUUGCCCAUAAAAAGUCUGUUAUGAUAGAGUAUACUUUUUUUAAAGAAUGUCUUUGGUGGGGCAAUUGGUAUCACCGAAAAUAAAUACAAAAACGUUGUCAGCCAUGCUAUUCUAAAGAAGUUUAUUCUACCUGUAAGAUUUAUUGGAUGAUUAUGCCAUUUAAUUAGAUCACACCCUGAUCUGUUACACCUGUCUUUGUGAUUGUCUCCACCCCCCUCCAGGUGUCACCCAUCUUCCCCAUUAUCCCCUGUGUAUUUAUACCUGUGUUCUCUGUUUGUCUGUUGCCAGUUCGUCUUGUUUGUCAAGUCAACCAGCAGUUUUGUCUCUCAGCUUCUGCUGUUCCCAGUCUUUUUUUUUAUUUUUUGCCCUCCUGGUUUUGACCCUUGCCUGUCCUGACCCUGCCUGCCGACCUGUACUUUUGCCCCACCUUUGGAUUAUUGACCUCUGCCUACCCUGACCCUGAGCCUGCCUGCCGUCCGGUACCGUUUCCCCAACCCUGGUUUACUGACCCCUGCCUGCCUUGACCUGUCUAUUGUCUGCCCCUGUUGGAUUAUUAAACCAUUGUUAAUUCGGCAUUGUCUGCAUCUGGGUCUUCCUUUCAUACCUGAUAUUCAUAUUGUUGAGUAAUGGAAUAGAGUUAUAUAUUUGUUUGUCACUUAUUCAGCAGCCUAAGUAUUUAAUAUUUAUUGUGGUCUACUUAAAGAAUUGCUGUAGUCCGUGAGUUAUUCUUUUUCCUAUUGCCAUAAUUUCAAUGUUUUUUUCCACGUUAAUUUUAUAUCCUGAGAUUUGAGUAUUCCAAAAAUAUUUUUAGCAAAGGGGGCAUUGAGUUUUCAAUUGUGGGCUGGUUAAAUAAAAAUAAAAAAAUAUCAGGAGAUCGUCUGUGAUAAGUUUAGUUUAUAUUCAUGGUUACCAAUACUGACACCUGACUUACGUUUGGGUCCUGUCUAAUUCUUUCUGCAAGUGGUUCAACUGCCAGUGCAAACAGAAGGGGG